This 347-nucleotide unclassified non-coding RNA is filed under the name Hevea brasiliensis (rubber tree). The record is from RNAcentral. Lineage: Eukaryota; Viridiplantae; Streptophyta; Magnoliopsida; Malpighiales; Euphorbiaceae.
AAAAAAAUAGGCAAGAAUGCACAGAACCUAACAAUGCCUACAAAAUAUUAGGGAGAUGAGAAUCCAAUCUCUGUUGCAACUCUUUAAUCUUGAUGGAGAGCUCUGCCUUCUGCUCCUUGUAGCUCUGCAACAGGUACUCCUUCCCUUCUAUUACUUCCUUCAACUCUCCUAUUUCCCUCUUCAGCAUCUCAACCCUUUCCCCAUCUCCCCUUCCCUUUUCUGACAACUCCAAACUGCUGUCCCCAUCCAGAUACCCAUUUGCAUGACCAUUUCUCACCUCAGAUGGCCAUAUAGUGACUGUUGGUUUUUCAUUGAUGGCUGCAUGUUUCACACAGUGAUCAGCAAUU